Long non-coding RNA from Amphimedon queenslandica, 1452 nucleotides. RefSeq lists it as uncharacterized. NCBI's taxonomy places the organism in Eukaryota, Metazoa, Porifera, Demospongiae, Haplosclerida, Niphatidae. The record is from RefSeq and is a predicted model, not a curated record. The transcript is spliced from 3 exons.
AUACAGUCCGACUACGCCCACGUUUUGCGUGAGUGUACUGUUUGUUCAUGAUACUAAAAAUCAUAAUUUUUGCAGUUAAUGUUGUUGUUUAUAGUAGAUCUGUUGCUCAAUGUAAAGUAUAGUUUCACAACAACAAGGUCGCAACUGCAUGCAUAAACUAGUACUCUUGUUUGUCAAUGGUCAUUGCCGUACUAUAACAGAUUAUAGAUCCUCAAGUACCAAGCUGUAUAAUGUGCCUUGAUUUCAACAUAUCAACCAUGGAUGCACAAUUGAGAGAGUGAUGAGGUACACAAUUUGAAUGUUAAGAUAGUUUUUUUAUGUUAACUGCAGGUGGGCAAACAUUAUCACCAUAUAGGGAAACAAUACAGUGAGUGAGUUAUUGUUAACAGUAUCUAUUCAACCCACAAUCACUCCCGACUGUUCACCUGACCCACCAGAAAAGUACAACUGUGAUCUGAGGUUUUUUUGGGCCCUAGCAAAAUGGAGUAUUGCUUCUCCCCUUUGUUAAUAUUAUUGAUCAUUGGCACACUUUCAAAUUGUGAAGCUACGUGUAAUCAAAUUGUAUCAUCAAAUGGAAACCCCAGUAUUGAAACAAGAGUAUCAAUUGGUGAAUGUGUAAUCUUACAUUGUACACUAAAUGGUACAACACAGUGGAAACUGAAUGGAACUGAUAUUAGUAAUGAUGAUGCUCAUUACAAUAUCAAUACUACUAGUGGUACACUGACUAUACAAGAAGUGAGGAGCACUGAUACUGGAAACUAUACUUGUGGCUCAGGAAGUAUUUCUUUAAUAAUGAAAAGUAAAUAAUAUCCUAAUAUGACUAUAAAUUGAUCCUACUUCUAAAGUAAAACAAAAAUUGCAUUCAAUUUAAGUUUUUCAAUCCUUUUUAGUACCUUUUAUCACUGUUACGGGUCAAUACACUAACCUCACUGUUGGUAGUAGUGUCAGUAUUAACUGUACUACAAUGCCCUCCAUCCCUAGCAGUGUAAUACAAUGGCAUUCAUCGUCAUUUAAUACUGAUAGCAAUGAACUGAUCAUUAAUCCAGUGAUGCUCUCUCAUAAUAAUAACAUAAUCACUUGUGUAGUAUCAUCAGAUUUACUGGCUAUAAAUCUGACAAAGACUAUUACUAUUAGUGUAAUAGAUACUCUUACUGUGCAAUCACUAUCUUCUUAUGUUAUUGGUGAUAAUGUAUCAAUAGUGUGUACUAUUAGUCUCAUCAGUGCUGAUGUUUCUUCACUUGUAGUGAACUGGUUUAAAAAUGAUAAAAUGAUACCAUCAAAUAAUAUCACUAAUAAUAAUGGUUCAUUAUCAACAUUUUAUAGUAUCCUGACAUUAACAGCAAUUUCACCAACUGAUGCUGGAGUAUAUAUUUGUAAUGCAUCAAUUAAUGGAUCAGAUAUAAAAAUUUCCGGUUCCAAAGAUUUGUGUUUAAAAGGUACAAUAUUAAUACA